AGACUCGGGCAGCGCCGCCCGCCCCGCCCGCUCCACGCGGGGUGCCGAGCCCCGGGCCCCCCCCCCACGCCGAAGGAGUCCGGGGCUCGGGAGCCGGCGCCCAGGACCCCGCGCCUCCGCGAACUGCGGUCCAGGCCCCGCCCCGGGGGCCGGGCUUCCUCGGGCCCCGCCCUGGCGAUGGGGAGGGUCCCGGCGGAGGCGGCGGGGGAGGGUUUGGUUUCAAGGAACAAAAAAUUUCCCAGAAAAGUUCAAGACCUGGACUUGGAGCAAAUGCCCAGCUCAGCCACCAGAUACCCAGGUGACGUGGAAAGCUUCCUAGCCUUCCUGUAUCUCCAGGUAUGCUCAGCUAAGCUGGGGACAAUAGUACAAACUGUUUCAUUUCCUCGAUCAUUCUGGCCAGAUGGCAGGCCUGGUUGAGAUGCAAGGUAUGUGCCUUCAGAGGCUCACAGGUCAGUUCUCAGCCUCCUGGGCCAUUGUGUGGGCUAGAUGAG
This is a long non-coding RNA of Sapajus apella (tufted capuchin), 491 nucleotides long. RefSeq lists it as uncharacterized. Lineage: Eukaryota; Metazoa; Chordata; Mammalia; Primates; Cebidae. The record is from RefSeq and is a predicted model, not a curated record. The transcript is spliced from 2 exons.